UUGAGUGACAGAUAGUAAAGUAACGACAGAAGUGACGCAGUUGUGCAAGCAGGAAACGUACCUUGCAUCUUGUUAAAACAUGCUUGGUCCUCCUCUCCACGACAGGUGUGACAGCAGGGGAAUACUUUGGAGACUCCUUUCCACAGUAGACAGAUGUUCCCCAUUGGUCAGGAUACACAGUAAGCUGGAGCGAUGUCAGCGACUACGCUUGGCCAUAGUUUUCCUCGAGAUGCUGAUGAAAGUCUGAUAGCUACAGCUUCUCAAAGCUUUGUGUUUCACCCACAAAGGAGCACAUUUGUUGCCUGGAGACGGUGAAGAUUUUGGCCCGGUCAGUCAAUAUAUCUUAUUCCUUGCUUAAAAAAGAAUUGGCUGUUGUGUCAAGUUGUGUCCUUUUGUAAAUUUUAUCCACACGCAAUGGAGGUUUAAGACAGGGCAUACAAAUAUUUCAAUUUAUGUAAAACAACACUGGUCAGAAGAAAUAGUAAGAAGGACCCUGUACAUGAAAAGAAAACACAUGCAUUGCAGUUUUUUGGACUCUUCUGUGCACCCCUUCAACACUCACAUCUAUCUAAUGUAAAAGUUCUCUGUAAUGUUCACCAAACGUGCACUGGUGCAUUCUUCACAAUUGAACUCACAGCUACCUUUAAUAAAAAAAAGUUG
This is a long non-coding RNA of Notolabrus celidotus (New Zealand spotty), 660 nucleotides long. RefSeq lists it as uncharacterized. The transcript is spliced from 3 exons. The record is from RefSeq and is a predicted model, not a curated record. Lineage: Eukaryota; Metazoa; Chordata; Actinopteri; Labriformes; Labridae.